RNAcentral lists this long non-coding RNA (345 nucleotides) under Fukomys damarensis (Damara mole-rat). Its description in RNAcentral is "lncRNA (ENSFDAG00000027200.1)". The record is from RNAcentral. Lineage: Eukaryota; Metazoa; Chordata; Mammalia; Rodentia; Bathyergidae.
CUUUGAAUGAAAUACAUGUAAAGACGUUUGCAUCGCAGUGUGGUAUUUCCAGUGGACGUCGUUGUUAGAAUUUGUGCCUGGUUGCACCUUUAAAGAUCUCACAUUUAGGCUGAUGAUGACUUGCCCACCCUGGAGCCGUGCACAGUGCCGCUGCUGACACAGCCGUGCACCGACAUCAGGCAGCGCGGGCUCUCAGCUCCUGCUUCUCACACUUCUCAGGUGUGAGUGCUGCUGCUGAGCGUCAUCCAAUCGAAAGGCAGACUCCUAAAGACAGCACAGAGUCGCCUCCCACCUUACUCACUGCCUCUGACACUGUGCGGCUCCCGGCUCCCCACUAAGCCAGAC